RNAcentral lists this ribosomal RNA (486 nucleotides) under uncultured bacterium. RNAcentral describes it as "partial 16S ribosomal RNA". It matches the Rfam family "Bacterial small subunit ribosomal RNA", at positions 30 to 507 of the family's 1533-position model. The record is from RNAcentral.
AUUGAACGCUGGCGGCAUGCCUUACACAUGCAAGUCGAACGGCAGCACGGGUGCUUGCACCUGGUGGCGAGUGGCGAACGGGUGAGUAAUACAUCGGAACAUGUCCUGUAGUGGGGGAUAGCCCGGCGAAAGCCGGAUUAAUACCGCAUACGAUCUACGGAUGAAAGCGGGGGGCCUUCGGGCCUCGCGCUAUAGGGUUGGCCGAUGGCUGAUUAGCUAGUUGGUGGGGUAAAGGCCUACCAAGGCGACGAUCAGCAGCUGGUCUGAGAGGACGACCAGCCACACUGGGACUGAGACACGGCCCAGACUCCUACGGGAGGCAGCAGUGGGGAAUUUUGGACAAUGGGCGAAAGCCUGAUCCAGCAAUGCCGCGUGUGUGAAGAAGGCCUUCGGGUUGUAAAGCACUUUUGUCCGGAAAGAAAUCCUUGGCCCUAAUACGGUCGGGGGAUGACGGUACCGGAAGAAUAAGCACCGGCUAACUACGUG